RNAcentral lists this unclassified non-coding RNA (380 nucleotides) under uncultured bacterium. RNAcentral describes it as "contains 16S-23S intergenic spacer region". The record is from RNAcentral.
UCCGGUUUGGCACCGGCAGUCCUCCCAGAGUCCUCAGCAUUACCUGUUAGCAACUGGAAGCGAGGGUUGCGCUCGUUGCGGGACUUAACCCAACAUCUCACGACACGAGCUGACGACAGCCAUGCAGCACCUGUGCAUGAGCUCCGAAGAGGGCCUCUGGUUUCUCAGAGGUUUCCCAUGCAUGUCAAGCCUAGGUAAGGUUCUUCGCGUUGCAUCGAAUUAAGCCAUAUGCUCCACCGCUUGUGCGGGCCCCCGCCAAUUCCUUUGAGUUUCAACCUUGCGGCCGUAGUCCCCAGGCGGGAUACUUAUUGCGUUAGCUGCGACACGGAAGGGGUCUAUACCUCCCACGUCUAGUAUCCAUAGUUUAGGGCGUGGACUAC